This 295-nucleotide small RNA is filed under the name Pongo abelii (Sumatran orangutan). Lineage: Eukaryota; Metazoa; Chordata; Mammalia; Primates; Hominidae. The record is from RNAcentral.
GCUGGGCAUGGUGGUGCAUGCCUGUAAUCCCAGCUACUUGGGAGGCUGAGGCAGAAGAAUCGCUUGAACCCAGGAGGCAGAUGUUGCAGUGAGCUGAGAUCGCCCAUUGUACUGCAGCCUGGGCAACAAGAGUGAAACUGUCUCAAAAUAAAAUAAAAUAAAAUAAAAUAAAAUAAAAUAGGCCGGGCACAGUGGCUCACGCCUGUAAUCCCAGCAUUUUGGGAGGCCAAGGCGGGCGGAUCACAAGGCCAGGAGAUCGAGACCAUCCUAGCUAACACAGUGAAACCCCGUCUGU